Molecule: long non-coding RNA, 2592 nt
Organism: Cyprinus carpio (common carp)
Lineage: Eukaryota; Metazoa; Chordata; Actinopteri; Cypriniformes; Cyprinidae
Source: Ensembl
AUGUUAAAAACCAACAGUACAUCAGUCAUCAGUGCCUACACAAAACCUUGUGCAUUCUGUGAGAAAGGCCAUACGUUGGAGCAAUGUUACCAAUUCAGUGCUAAGUCAUAUAAAGACAAAUUGGACUUUUUAAGAAAAAGUGGAUUUUGCUUUGGAUGCUUAGUGAAAGGACAUUUAAGCAAAGACUGUAACAGAAGAAGCACAUGUCAGCUGUGCUCAAAGAAACAUCCUAGCAUGUUACACUUAACCAUACAAGACAAGAUUCCUGAGAAGGAAAUGGUAAAAGUUGAAAGGACUGAAGUUACCAAUUUACCUGCCACAGUGAGUCAUGAGACAAGUGCGUGCACUGGGUCCGGAGACAACUGUGUUCUUGCCAUAGUUCCUGUCAAGAUAAAGUCAAAAAAGAGUGAUAAGUAUUUGGAAGUGUAUGCUUUUAUGGACCCAGGCAGCUCUGCCACCUUCUGUACUGAUGCACUAGUAAGACGGUUGAAUGUCCAGGGUAGAAAGACCGAUAUGAUGCUAAGCACCAUGAACUCAAAGAAACGAGUGGAAAGUUAUGUCCUCACAAACUUGGAAGUGAGUGGAUUGGAGGAAAACUACUUCAUUGAACUUCCCAAAGUGUUCACACAAAUGAGCAUACCAGUGUCAAUGGAAAACAUUCCACAACAACAUGAUGUUGAGAAAUGGCCAUACCUAAGUGAAGUGAAGUUGCCUCACAUUGAUGCUGGAGUGGAAAUCCUCAUAGGAAACAAGGAAUUCAAGCUUCUGGAACCUUGGAAAGUAAUUAAUAGUAAGCACAAUGGGCCGUAUGCAGUGAAAACUGCCCUUGGAUGGGUUUUAAAUGGACCUCUUAGGGAACCUGUUGAAGAAAGCAUUCAUGGAGAUGCACAAACAAAUCUUACAGUCAACAGAAUCUUCAUUGAGAGUGUAGAACAGAUGCUGAUACAACAGUACAACCACGAUUUUCCUGAAAGAAAUUGUGAUGACAAAGCUGAAUUGUCGCAGAUGGAUCACCAGUUUUUGGAAUCUGUGUCUAAAUCAGUGCAGUUUUCCGAUGGUCACUAUUAUGUUGACCUUCCUAUCAAGAAAACAGUCAUCCAAAUGCCUAACAAUCGCACUGCUGCUGUCCAGCGAGCACUAAAUAUCAAGAAAAAAAUUCAGAAAAAUCCCUCCUUUCAUGCAGAGUACACAAGCUUCAUGACUGACAUGCUAAACAAAGGUUACGCAGUCAAGGUGAAUACAUCACACUUAAAUCGUCAAGAUGGUCAAGUUUGGUAUAUACCUCAUCACGGUGUAUACCAUCCUCAGAAGAAAAAACUGAGAGUGGUGUUUGACUGUGCUGUCAGUUUCCAAGGAAUGUCUUUAAAUAGUGAACUCCUACAAGGUCCAGACAUGUCAAAUACACUCAUUGGAGUGCUCACUCGCUUCAGACAAGAGUCAGUUGCCAUGAUUGCAGAUAUUGAAGCUAUGUACUACCAGGUGAGAGUUCCUGAAAAAGACAGUGACAUGCUUCGUUUCCUAUGGUGGCCAGAUGGGGAUCUAAAUCAGAACUUGGAUGAGUACAAGAUGGUUGUCCAUCUCUUUGGUGCUAAGUCAUCUCCAAGUGUAGCUAACUUUGCCCUUAGGAAAACAGCAGAAGACAAUCGUAGCAAGUCAACAGUUGAAGCAGUCAAUACAGUUCUCAAGAACUUUUAUGUAGAUGACUGUUUAAAGUCUGUUUCAAGUUCUGCUCAAGCAGUUGCCUUGCACAAUGAUCUCACAAAACUUUGUGCGAGUGGAGGAUUUCGUCUUACAAAAUGGGCAAGCAACAGUCGUGACUUGUUGGCCUCUGUGCCAGAAAGUGAAAGAAUUGCAGGUGUCAGAGACUUGGAUUUAAGCAAAGAUGCACUACCUGUAGAGAGAGCAUUAGGGGUGUUAUGGUGUGUCAAUUCAGAUGUGUUCAAAUUCAGAAUCAAUUUGAAAGAAAAACCUGUAAGCAGAAGAGGAAUUCUGUCAGUCACAAGCUCCAUCUAUGACCCCUUGGGCUUUCUCGCACCUGUAAUAUUGCCAUCAAAGAUUCUAAUGCAACAGUUAUGCAGAGAAAAACUUGCCUGGGAUGAUGACAUUCCAGAACAGAGUGCAGAAAGGUGGAUUUCCUGGUUAAGUGGUCUAAAUCAGUUGACUGACUUCAGUGUACCAAGGUGUAUUAAACCAGUUGACUUUGGAGUGUCCACUUCAGCGCAGCUACACCACUUCUCAGAUGCUAGUGAGGUGGGAUAUGGAGUUGUCUCAUACCUCAGAUUGUUAAAUGCUGAUGGACUUGCACAUUGCGCCUUCAUGAUGGGGAAGUCUCGUGUGGCGCCACUGAAGCAGACCACCAUUCCACGUAUGGAGUUGGCUGCUGCAGUUGUUGCUGUUAAAACAGACAAGAUGCUGAAAGAUGAACUGGAACUAGAAUUGCAAGAAUCUGUAUUCUGGACUGACAGCACCACUGUUUUGAGAUAUAUUGUCAAUGAAGGACUUCGUUUCAAAAAACGUUUGUUGCCAACAGAGUUGCCACCAUACGAGAGUCAACUAGACCACAACAGUGGAGGUACAUCAAUACCUCAAUGA